AUUGAACGCUGGCGGCAGGCCUAACACAUGCAAGUCGAACGAGUGGCGGACGGGUGAGUAAUGUCUGGGAAACUGCCCGAUGGAGGGGGAUAACUACUGGAAACGGUAGCUAAUACCGCAUACCAUCGGAUGUGCCCAGAUGGGAUUAGCUUGUAGGUGAGGUAACGGCUCACCUAGGCGACGGUCCCGAGCUGGUCUGAGAGGAUGACCAGCCACAUUGGAACUGUGACACGGUCCGGACGCCGACGGGAGGAAGCAGUGGGGAAUAUUGCACCAUGGGCGCAAUCCUGAUGCAGCCAUGCCGCGUGUAUGAGGAAGGCUUUCGGGUUGGAAAGUACUUUCAGCGUGGAGGCGUUACCCGCAGAAGAAGCACCGGCUAACUCCGUGCCAGCAGCCGCGGUAAUUC
RNAcentral lists this ribosomal RNA (406 nucleotides) under uncultured bacterium. Its description in RNAcentral is "partial 16S ribosomal RNA". It matches the Rfam family "Bacterial small subunit ribosomal RNA", at positions 30 to 526 of the family's 1533-position model. The record is from RNAcentral.